This 393-nucleotide ribosomal RNA is filed under the name uncultured bacterium. Its description in RNAcentral is "partial 16S ribosomal RNA". It matches the Rfam family "Bacterial small subunit ribosomal RNA", at positions 523 to 918 of the family's 1533-position model. The record is from RNAcentral.
AUACGGAGGGUGCAAGCGUUAUCCGGAUUUAUUGGGUUUAAAGGGUGCGUAGGCGGUUUGAUAAGUCAGCGGUGAAAUAUUUCAGCUUAACUGGAAGGGUGCCGUUGAUACUGUCGAGCUUGAAUUUAGUUGCUGUGGGUGGAAUGUGUGGUGUAGCGGUGAAAUGCAUAGAUAUCACACAGAAUAUCGAUUGCGAAGGCAGCUCACAAAGCUAAUAUUGACGCUGAUGCACGAAAGUGUGGGGAUCAAACAGGAUUAGAUACCCUGGUAGUCCACACUGUAAACGAUGAUAACUCGCUGUCGGCGAUACAUAGUCGGUGGUCAAGCGAAAGCGAUAAGUUAUCCACCUGGGGAGUACGACCGCAAGGUUGAAACUCAAAUGAAUUGGCGGGG